GUACACUCCUACGGGAGGCAGCAGUGGGGAAUAUUGCACAAUGGGCGCAAGCCUGAUGCAGCCAUGCCGCGUGUAUGAAGAAGGCCUUCGGGUUGUAAAGUACUUUCAGCGGGGAGGAAGGCGAUAAGGUUAAUAACCUUGUUGAUUGACGUUACCCGCAGAAGAAGCACCGGCUAACUCCGUGCCAGCAGCCGCGGUAAUACGGAGGGUGCAAGCGUUAAUCGGAAUUACUGGGCGUAAAGCGCACGCAGGCGGUCUGUCAAGUCGGAUGUGAAAUCCCCGGGCUCAACCUGGGAACUGCAUUCGAAACUGGCAGGCUAGAGUCUUGUAGAGGGGGGUAGAAUUCCAGGUGUAGCGGUGAAAUGCGUAGAGAUCUGGAGGAAUACCGGUGGCGAAGGCGGCCCCCUGGACAAAGACUGACGCUCAGGUGCGAAAGCGUGGGGAGCAAACAGGAUUAGAAACCCCGGUAGUCCCAU
RNAcentral lists this ribosomal RNA (476 nucleotides) under uncultured organism. RNAcentral describes it as "partial 16S ribosomal RNA". It matches the Rfam family "Bacterial small subunit ribosomal RNA", at positions 331 to 798 of the family's 1533-position model. The record is from RNAcentral.